Molecule: ribosomal RNA, 253 nt
Filed under: uncultured bacterium
Lineage: Bacteria
Description: partial 16S ribosomal RNA
Rfam family: Bacterial small subunit ribosomal RNA
Source: RNAcentral
UACGGAGGGUGCAAGCAUUGAUCGGAAUUACUGGGCGUAAAGGGCGCGUAGGCGGCUAGAUAAGUCAGGUGUGAAAUUCCGUGGCUCAACCACGGAACUGCAUUUGAAACUAUAGAGCUAGAGGUUAGUUAGGGAAAACGGAAUUCCACGUGUAGCGGUGAAAUGCGUAGAUAAGUGGAGGAACACCGGUGGUGAAGACGGUUUUCUGGGCUAAUACAGACGCUGAGGCGCGAAAGCAUGGGGAGCAAACAGG